This 580-nucleotide long non-coding RNA is filed under the name Trifolium pratense (red clover). Its description in RNAcentral is "long non-coding RNA (TPRA_LNC004762)". The record is from RNAcentral. Lineage: Eukaryota; Viridiplantae; Streptophyta; Magnoliopsida; Fabales; Fabaceae.
UUAAGAUGAAAACAGUGGCGCUUCUGACGGAGAGGAACAUUGGUGGGGGUCACGACGGUGUAGAACAUUGGUACGCUAAUGGUCGUCGCGAUUUUCAUGAUGGAGUUCUGGAAAGUUGCCGAAGGAGUAAGGUAGUGUGCUGCUGCAAUUCUUUUUUCCCAUUCUCUUGUAGCAAUUUAGCAAUAACCCAUGAUUGAUUCUUCACAGUGCUAGCUUUCUGGGUUGGGUUGCUUUUAACACUAUUAUGAUUGGUAUUCGAAUGAGUAAGAGCAAGCAAUUGGAGGAUGUGGUUGUUGUUUCCCGUAGUAGUUAAGUUUGGGAAAAUGAGUUCCUUUCAUGUGCAAGUUUGAUUGUUGUUGAAAAAUAAUUGUUUUUUGUUUUGAUUUUUUGAAGUUAUAAUUUAUGGUAAAUUCUAAUAUGGACCACUUCACUUCUUCAAGUGGUCCAUGGUGGACCAGUCACGAAUAACAUUAUAACGAAUACAAAUUUUAUAAAAUCCACCGUUUGAUUGAAAGUUUAGAUCAUAUAGAUCAUUCAUAGAAAAAUUUAGAAAAAUUGAAAGUCAUUUGAUAUGUUAUUG